GCUCGCAUGCGAGCGGGCCGCGGUUACAGACACCGGGGCCCAGCCCGGGCCCGGCCGUGAGGUGUCCGCUCGCGCCCCGCGACCGCUAACAGCCAGCUCGCACCGCGGGCCGCAGAGCGGCCUCGCCGCGGCCCGGGCCCGCUCACCCCGGCAACAACCCCCCGCCGCGGUGCCUCCGCUCGCUCCGGCUCAGCCUCCAUCCGCCGCCACCGCCGCCGGUGCUUCCGGCGGACAGCCCGCCCCAGCAACCGCCACCCUCAGCGGCGGCGCCGCCGGCCCGCACCACCCCGCGAGUCCGGCCCGCGCCGGGCCUGUCCCUUUAAACACUGCGCCCGCCCCGGGUACCAUCCACACGGAACGCGGCUGUGCCCGUGGGCGCCCGAACUCUCCCGGCCCCUCGGGGCAGCCCUGCGCCCGGGGCCUGGCCCCGGAGCUAGAGGCAGCGGGCAGGCUGCUCUCCUCAUAAAGACUGGCUCAUCACUGGCUGGGUGUUCUGCCAAGCAGCCGGCGAUGAAUUACAACGCUCGGUGCUCCUGGUAGCCAUAUAAAUAUCCAGCCCCGUUAGCAGUCUUAAAAUCUUGGCCUGACUAACAGUGGCAGCGGUGCUACAGUUUCGCAGCACAAUGCAUCAUCUCUCAAACACUGCUUUCCAGACGGGACAGCUGGUCCCCAGAGCGCUCAGUGGAGGGAUGAAAUGUAAGCUCAGCGAUCAUUACACAUACUCCUCUCCAGCUAAGUUGUGCAGAGAUUUCCACUGAGCUGCAUAAAACGACCCCUGGUCCCUUUCUUGGCUGGACAGAUGUAUAGAUUAAUUGUAAGUAGAUCUGGGUUUAGCUCCACAUGUUAAAUAAACAUUCCUUUCUCCA
Molecule: long non-coding RNA, 866 nt
Organism: Strigops habroptila (Kakapo)
Lineage: Eukaryota; Metazoa; Chordata; Aves; Psittaciformes; Psittacidae
Exons: 2
Source: RefSeq, a predicted model, not a curated record